RNAcentral lists this ribosomal RNA (553 nucleotides) under Chlorophthalmus sp. 'bake-aome-eso'. Its description in RNAcentral is "partial 12S rRNA". It matches the Rfam family "Bacterial small subunit ribosomal RNA", at positions 196 to 991 of the family's 1533-position model. The record is from RNAcentral. Lineage: Eukaryota; Metazoa; Chordata; Actinopteri; Aulopiformes; Chlorophthalmidae.
ACCCCUGUGAGGAUGCCCUCAAAUUUUCCUCGCCCGAAAACGAGGAGCCGGUAUCAGGCACGCACAAUAUGCAGCCCAAGACGCCUUGCUCAGCCACACCCCCAAGGGAUCUCAGCAGUGAUAGACAUUAAGCAAUGAGCGAAAGCUCGACUUAGUUACGGUUAAGCAGGGCCGGUUAAUCUCGUGCCAGCCACCGCGGUUAUACGGGUAGGCCCGAGUUGACAGACUUCGGCGUAAAGAGUGGUUACGGACCAAUACUACUAAAGUUAAACACCCCCCUCGCUGUAAUACGCGUCCGGGGACCGGAGACUCCACUACGAAAGUGACUUUAACACCCUUCCCGAACCCACUUAAGCCAGGGAACAAACUGGGAUUAGAUACCCCACUAUGCCUGGCCGUAAACUUUGAUUUGUUAUAUACAUGAACCAUCCGCCCGGGAACUACAAGCGCCAGCUUCAAACCCAAAGGACUUGGCGGUGCUUCAGACCCACCUAGAGGAGCCUGUUCUAGAACCGAUAAUCCCCGUUCAACCUCACCAUCCCUGGCUAUUCCC